UGGGAUUAUAGGCAUGAGCCACCAUACCUGGCAGAAAUACGGUUUUUAAAUGAAAUCUUUUAUACAACCCCUACAUAUCAAACAAAAUUAAAGCUGCUUUAGUAGUAGCAUUAUUACCUCUUUUCUAACAGUCUGAGAGAAAAUUAGAAAAUGGAAUCAAAUUUGAAAAUUAAUGGUAGAGGUGCUACUAAAACAAUGAAAAUUGUUGACACUACCUUCACUGUUGAGAGUUCAAAGAGGUAUAAGGAUUUUAAAAUAUAGAUGUCAUUAUUUUUUUGUUUGUUUUAAGAGACAGGAUCUUACUCAGUUGCCUAGGCUGAAGUGCAGUGGUGUGAUCAUAGCUUACUGUAGCUUCGAACUUCUGGACUUAAGGAAUCCUCCUGCCUCAGCCUAUCCAGUAGUUGGGACUAGAGGCCCAUGUCAUCAUGGUGGCCAGCUAAUUGUUUACAAUUUUUUUUUAGAGACAGGGUUUCUCUGUGUUGCCCAGGCCGGUCUUGAAUUCUUGGCCUGGAGAUCCUCCCACCUCAGCAUCCAGAUUAGCUAAGAUUACAGUUGCAAGCCACUGCACCUGGCUUGAGGUCAUUGUUGACCCUGAGAACAGUUUCAAUAAAAUUGGGAAAGACUGAGAAGUUCAUAGUGUUCCUGGACCAAACUGAGGGUCGGGCUGCUAUUUCUCAUGGCCCAAUAACGAGAUGCAAUAUGAACUGGGAAGGAAAAGAGUUGAGGCCUGUGGCAUUUCUUCACACCCCCAAUAAAACUUGUUUAAUCCUAAAUGAGUCCUGUUAAGAAUUCCGUUAUUUUGUCAUGCCUUAAGGCCCAGGAAAGGCCUAGGCAAAACUAUCCAUGGGCUUUUGUUAUAUUCCAGCCUUUGUAGAAGGGCACUGGCUUUUUUAGCUUUUAAUAUUUAACUUAACCACUCAGUCAGUGCUGAAAAUGUUGUAAUGGAGGCCUGCGUUAGUGCAACCUGGCCUGCCACAACAGGGUGAGCUGCUUAAAUGACAGAGGAAGAUAUAGGUAAGAAAGGGUAUUAUUAGCACAGCUUUGUCCCUGAGGAUGCAAGAUGGGUGGGAUCCAGAAAACCAAGAGAGAACUUGAAUGGGAAGAAAGACAGAACCCUGUCCGUUAAUUCAUGAAGAAAGAAUGGGAAUGAGAAUACAAGCCAUUUUGUAAGUGGAAGCAGAAAGUUGAAGAAGUUCAGAGUUUUUGGUUACCAUAUCUCUGUCGUUUAGGAGGCAGAGCCAUCCCUGAGGGAGAGAGGAAGGCAGAAGUUAGAUGUAAGUGCAUACCUCAUGGGCACUGUUUUCAGACAAAGCAUCUACAGGAGUCAUAUACUUUCUUAAUUUUUCCUUAGCCCAAAGGAAGAAAGAUAAGGAAAAAAUGUAGCAUUCUGCCUAACAAAGAAAUUGGAGGCACUUUUCUACCUUUAGGAGGUAGAAAAUAGUACCCUGAAAAGUCAUUAGUAUGCACUGCAUAAGACUUAAGUGUAGCUUAACUAAGUUGCUUCUCCCAGUAAAUAAUAUCAUCCAUCUAUUCAGAAAGCUGACAGUCAUCCUUGAUAACACUCUCUCCAUUUCUCACAUCCAAUCAAUCACAAAUCUUGCUGAUUUUUAGCUCUUCAGUAUUGCUAAAGUCUGUGUAUUUUUUGGUGACUACUGCCUUUAUCUAGGCCACAAUUAUCUUUUGACUAGAUUACUAUAGUAGCUUUAGUAAGUCUAUCUCUCUGCAUCUGAAGUGGUCCUUUCUAUUGCCUGAAGGUCUUCACACAUUUUAUACAGGAUCCUUUACAAGAUUUUUUUUGGCACAGUGUCUUAAACAGUAAGAAAUAUAUCAUGACCAAAGUACACACAUAUAUUUAUAUAAUUAAUAGUUUAGAUAUUGACAAAGAUGCCAAGACCAUUCAACGGGAAAAUAAUAGUUUUUUCAACAAAUACUGCUGGGACAACUGGAUAUCCUCAUGCAUAAGAAUGAACCCCUAUGGUACACAGUGUACAAAAUUAACUAAAAAUGGAUCAAAAGAAAGUACCUGUUUCUGCCUUCUAGAGAGAGGCUUCACUUCCCAGCAAUAUAUAUAUAUAUAUUUAAAAGGAUUGAAAACCUAAAUUAAAGAGCUGAAACUAUGAAAUGCUUAGAAGGAAACACAGGUGUAAAUUUUCAUGACAUUGAAUUAGGCAGUGAUUUCUUCAACAUUGUCCCAGAAGCCCAAGCAACCAAAAAAAAAAAAAAAAAACACUUGAACUUUACUGAAUUAAAAGCAUUUGUGCUUUAAAGAACACUCAAGACAGUGAAAAAAGCUGCUGAGGUGCAGUGGCAUGAAAAUUAAAGAACAGACAGCUGGAGUAAUCAUUCCUGCAAUCCCAGCUACUUGGUAGGCUAAAGUGGGAAGACUACUUGAGCCCAGGAGUUUGGGUCCAGCCUGGGCAACAUAGCAAGACCCUGUCUCUUUAAAAAAAUAAAAGAAAGAAAGUGAAGGCAGCUCUCAGAAUGGGAAAAAAUACUUGCAAGUCAUUUAUAUAACAGUCUAGUGUCCAGAAUACUUAUAAGAACUCUUACAACUCAAUAGUAAAAAGGCAAUGUAAUUUAAAAACAGGUGAAGGAUUUGAAUAGAUAUUUCUCCAAAGAAGAUAUUCAGAUGACAAAUAAGCAUAUGAAAAGAUGUGCAACAUGAUAUGUCAUUAGGGAAUUACCAGUUAAAACAACUACUACACCUAUUAGAAUAGCUUAAAAUCUGCCGGGUGUGGUGGCUCACACCUGUAAUCCCAGCACUUUGGCAGGCCGAGGCAGGUGGAUCACCUGAGGUUGGGAGUUUGAGACCAGCCUGGCCAACAUGGCAAAAGCCCGUCUCUACUAAAAAUACAAAAAUUAGCCGGACAUGGUGGUGCAUGCAUCUGAUACCAGCUACUUGGGAGGCUGAAGCAGGAGAAUCGCUUGAACCUGGGAGGUGGAGGUUGCCAUGAGCCGAGAUCGUGCCACUGGACUCCAGCCUGGGCAACAGACUGAAACUCUCAUUUCAAAAAAAAAAAAAAAAAAAAAAAGGUAAAAAUCCAGAACACUGACAACACUGAAUGCUUGUGAGGAUGUCGCCCAGGCUGGAGUGCAGUGGCGCAGUCUCAGCUCACUGCACCCUCUACCUCAGGGGUUCAAGCGAUUCUUGUGCCUCAGCCUACUGAGUAGCUGAUACUAUAGGCAUGCGCCACCACUCCUGGCUAAUUUUUGUAUUUUUAGUAGAGAUGAGGUUUCAUCGUGUUGGCCAGGCUGGCUCAUGCCUGUAAUCCCAGCACUUUUAGAGGCCAAGGCGGGUAGGGUCACUUGGUCAUGAGUUCAAAACCAGUCUGGCCAACAUGGUGAAAUCCCAUCUCCACCAAAAAAACAAAAUGGUACAUAAAUGAAUUCCUACUGUAUGAACUUUUGAGCAUGGCUUUUUUUACUCAGCAUAAUUCUCUGGAGAUUCCUCCAGGUUGUUGUACAUAUCAAUAAUUUGAUUUUUUUUUUAUUGCUAGUUAAUAUUCCACAGUGUGAUAUACCACCGUUUGUUUAAACAUUCA
This 3542-nucleotide long non-coding RNA is filed under the name Homo sapiens (human). Its description in RNAcentral is "HSALNT0152395". Lineage: Eukaryota; Metazoa; Chordata; Mammalia; Primates; Hominidae. The record is from RNAcentral.